Molecule: small nucleolar RNA, 134 nt
Organism: Fukomys damarensis (Damara mole-rat)
Lineage: Eukaryota; Metazoa; Chordata; Mammalia; Rodentia; Bathyergidae
Source: Ensembl
AGCCUCAUUCUUGAUUACAAUGGGCACUGUUGACUGGUGUCCCAAAUUGGGCACUGUGGCUUAAACUGAUACAAAGAUCAUGCUUCCACCACAGUAAACAACUAACAGUGGUGACAAAGAGACCUAUAACGUUU